RNAcentral lists this ribosomal RNA (475 nucleotides) under uncultured bacterium. Its description in RNAcentral is "bacterial SSU rRNA". It matches the Rfam family "Bacterial small subunit ribosomal RNA", at positions 29 to 524 of the family's 1533-position model. The record is from RNAcentral.
AAUGAACGCUGGCGGCGUGCCUAACACAUGCAAGUCGUACGAGCUCGAUCUUCGGAACGGGUUAGUGGCGCACGGGUGAGUAACACGUAGGUGACCUACCCCAGAGUGGGGGAUAACUUCUCGAAAGAGAGGCUAAUACCGCAUACACUCGGUCAUUCAUUUGACCGAGCAAAGCUCCGGCGCUUUGGGACGGGCCUGCGUCCGAUUAGCUAGUUGGUAGGGUAAUGGCUUACCAAGGCUUUGAUCGGUAGCUGGUCUGAGAGGACGAUCAGCCACACUGGCACUGACACACGGGCCAGACUCCUACGGGAGGCAGCAGUGAGGAAUAUUGGGCAAUGGGCGAAAGCCUGACCCAGCAACGCCGCGUGAGGGAUGAAGGCCUUCGGGUUGUAAACCGUCUUUUCUGGGAGAAGAGACAAGGACGGUAUCCCAGGAAGUAAGUCUCGGCUAACUACGUGCCAGCAGCCGCGGUAAU